UGAAUGUGUCCCCGAAUUCCAUGAGUUGGAAAGUUAGUCUGCCGUGCAACAGUGUUGAGAAGCAGGACCUAUGGAAGAUGACUGAGUUAUUGAAGAUCUGGCUUUAUCAGUGGAUCAGUUCAGUCCUGGGUUAAUGGGUUGUCAGGGAGGAAUGCUGUUGUUAUAGGAGCGAACUCUAAGAUUGCGGAGCAUGGGAGCAGCCCAGUGACCUGGGAAAAAUCCUCUUGGAAGAAUGUAUUCACCUUUUCCUGGACAAACCUAUCUGGGCGAGAAAGGAUCAGAUACCCGCCAGGGCCACCCACGGAGGCACGCAAGAUCUCAGUACCAAUUUCACACGAGAUGCGGGAUGUCGCUCUACACUUAACUUGGCUGCAGGAGUGGAUGUGGUAGCCAGGUAAGAACACUACCUGCGCCUCGAAGGUUCAGCGACUCUCCUCCUUCGGCUGCACCUGGAUCUCCCGGAGACUUGGGUUGAAACACAGGUUGCUGGAUUUGCCCUCCCGAGUAUUGACUCCACACAGUGGCCUCGGCACUUGUUUCUCUAACGAGAUGUCGGGUGAAACUGUUGUGGCUGUUGCCAGCGGCGUAUGAAUAGGGCACAUUUUGAGAUCCACCCGCUAACUCGCGCCACGCUUGGUGAUAUAAUAUUAUACCUGGGUGGUAUUACCGUAAUAGCUGGUGCCUCUGUUCUCCUUGAGGAGACAUCUACCUUCUGUGUAGAAUAAAAAUUGCUGGGAAAUCCUGCUUGAGUUGGGUGACACCUUCAGGUGUCAGUCAGCAGCAACAGACUAGGAGUAGAAAGAUGUCCCUCAGGAGACAGCGGUGGGAACAAAGAGGCCACAAGAGGAUCUGCCUCCCUAGGCCAAAGGGCUGGGAGGUCCCACAGGCUAGAACUGGUUUUAGGAGGAGUCUGGAGUCUGGAUUGCCUGAUUUUCUGAGGGUUCAGGGGUCCAGUAAGGUUUCUGGGGAUGCUAAGGCUGAAAGUCAAGCUCUUAGGGACCCUCAAAGAUUUCAUUUCAUUUAGUGUUUUUAUUUAAACUUUAGACCUUUAAAGAAGGGAUAAACUGCUGGCUGUGCGGGUGCACAUCUUCAAUCCCAGCACUCAGGAGGCAGAGGCAGGUGGAUCUCUGUGAGUGUGAUGCUAGCCUGGGUUACAUAGUGAGUUCCAGCCAGAUACAUAAUGAGACCUUGUGUAAAAACAAACAAACAAAUAAACAAACAAAAAAACGCAAAAACUCAAAACCUGAAAUGCCACUAAAAUCACUGUAAUUAAGUGUAUACCACAUUGCACAAGAGCUGUGAACUUUUCAAAUUUAUAGAUUUCUUUGAUCUUUACCAAAGCUUUGUCAGAGCAAAACAGUAGAAUUAAUCAUAACCCCCAGAGGAAAACAGAGGCAUAGAUAUAUAUGAACAGUAAAACCACUAGGGUCUAAGUUCACAGACAGACAGGUCAGGCAGCUUCUUAGAGGGCCCCAGAGAAGACCCCGUGCUCUUAGGCCUCCACUUUCCUUUCGAAUGAGGUGGACCCAGAGUUCAAAUAUAAUCCUGAGUAAACUGACAUUUGGAGUGGGGCUUCUGAAGGUCUCAGAGAGGAGAUUAAAUCAUUCCGUCUCUAGCCGAGCAUCUGAGUCUCAAGCCCAGAGUCUCGGGCUCUCCUGAAGAGCCGUUCAUCAUCUGCCUGCAGGAGGGAGGAAGACAGCAGUGUGAUGGAGCCGAACCGUCUUUAGAGUUUACAGCCACACAUUGCAGUCCGACAUAAAUCUUGAACUAAAGAGGUCUGUAGCACAUAGGAGCCCGUUGUGGCCGGAUCCUCGGGUUUUCUGGCAACAUUUACUCCAUCUGUCUCUGUGGCCAACAAACAAAUCAAUUCCACUUUAAAUCAAAAUGGCAGGAUUCCUGGCAGUUCUCUGGAGUUUCUAGCACUAUCCCUAGAGAACAGGACCCUGAGGCCCUCUCCCACUUAACCUGACUCUUCUAUCUUUAGCUAGAUAUACCAGGCUCAUAUGAGAGACUUCCUUAACAGGAAGAAGGCCAGAUCCUACAUAGACCAGGCAGAGGUCUAGGAUUGAAAGGAGGGGUAUCCUUUCUGUUGGGGGUGGGAAUGUUGAAAUGAUCGACCCUCUGUCCUCAAUAUCAUCGGCCCCACCCCCACAGACACCCUUGGACCCAGAGGUAAAGGAGAGUCGACAGAUGGUCCCGUAAUGAAACGGCUCACGCUUACUAAACCUCACGCGCCUGGUUUGUUUGUGUCUCCUGCUUACUCUACAAGAAAUCCCAGCACACGCCCGAAGUCUUUAGGACCUGAAGGGACCUGUCACGGAGAGCAGGUGUCGGAGCUGGCAUUAAAACCUGUGUUUCCACAAAGCCCCUGUUCUUAGCCAUGCCAGGCAGUGGUUCAUUAAUGGAGACCCUUGGAGAAAACAAAAACAAGUGACUUUGCCCACAGAUGUGAAUUCAUCUCUUGUUUUGAGGGAUUAUGUUUUGCUUGGGUAUUAAAUGGGUUCAUUCUUUUCUCAAAACCAUGGUAAUGACAGUUAGUGAUUCUCUCUCACCUUCCUUCUCCUCCUGCCUCUCCUUCCCUCUUUACCUUUUUUACUUGGUGAGGGCUGAAAAACAAAUAUAUAUACAUAUUA
Long non-coding RNA from Myodes glareolus (Bank vole), 2633 nucleotides. RefSeq lists it as uncharacterized. Lineage: Eukaryota; Metazoa; Chordata; Mammalia; Rodentia; Cricetidae. The record is from RefSeq and is a predicted model, not a curated record.